UGGAUCUGGUUACUUAGCAUUUAUGUUUCUCGUGGUGUACAGUAGAAAUAAUAAGACCUCUUUAUCUUACCUUUCCAGAGUAUUGUGAAGAGCAAAUGAAGUGAUAAAUAUGGAAAUGCUUUGUAAAGUGUGAGAUGCUGCAUACAGAAUGCCAAUAGCUCAUUUCCAAUGAUGGAAAAUGUCCCAACUUACUUUAUUACUUACCUGCUACUUCCUACUUACCCUUUGCUUGCCUGCCUGCAUCUCUUCACUCAGCAGACAUCUGCUGAAUGCACCUCACGUGCAGUGUCUCUGUGAUUCCUCCCAACCACCCACGUCAGGGAGUAGAGGUUAUUGCUGAAGAAACCGAAGCUCAC
Long non-coding RNA from Myotis daubentonii (Daubenton's bat), 356 nucleotides. RefSeq lists it as uncharacterized. NCBI's taxonomy places the organism in Eukaryota, Metazoa, Chordata, Mammalia, Chiroptera, Vespertilionidae. The record is from RefSeq and is a predicted model, not a curated record.